CACAGUGUGGUGGACCAU
RNAcentral lists this non-coding RNA (18 nucleotides) under Rattus norvegicus (Norway rat). Lineage: Eukaryota; Metazoa; Chordata; Mammalia; Rodentia; Muridae. The record is from RNAcentral.